This 73-nucleotide transfer RNA is filed under the name Branchiostoma floridae (Florida lancelet). RNAcentral describes it as "tRNA-Lys (TTT) (tRNA-Lys-TTT-1 1 to 8)". It matches the Rfam family "tRNA". From Rfam's summary of the family: Transfer RNA (tRNA) molecules are approximately 80 nucleotides in length. Their secondary structure includes four short double-helical elements and three loops (D, anti-codon, and T loops). Lineage: Eukaryota; Metazoa; Chordata; Leptocardii; Amphioxiformes; Branchiostomatidae. RNAcentral also lists the same sequence under 3 other names. The record is from RNAcentral.
GCCCGGUUAGCUCAGUCGGUAGAGCAUCAGACUUUUAAUCUGAGGGUCAGGGGUUCAAGUCCCCUAUCGGGCG